GUCUAUGGCCAUACCACCCUGAACGCGCCCAAUCUCGUCAGAUCUCAGAAGCAAAGCAGGGUUGGGCCUGGUUAGUACUUGGAUGGGAAAAAUAAACCAGGACUAAAUUGGUC
This 113-nucleotide ribosomal RNA is filed under the name Callithrix jacchus (white-tufted-ear marmoset). Lineage: Eukaryota; Metazoa; Chordata; Mammalia; Primates; Cebidae. The record is from RNAcentral.